RNAcentral lists this ribosomal RNA (2782 nucleotides) under Campylobacter jejuni. RNAcentral's name for it is "partial 23S ribosomal RNA". It matches the Rfam family "Bacterial large subunit ribosomal RNA", at positions 306 to 2925 of the family's 2925-position model. Lineage: Bacteria; Pseudomonadati; Campylobacterota; Epsilonproteobacteria; Campylobacterales; Campylobacteraceae. The record is from RNAcentral.
CUGCAAUGUGCAAGAGGUAAGUUUAGCAGAACAUUCUGGAAAGUAUAACCAUAGAGGGUGAUAGUCCCGUAUGCGAAAAACAAACCUUAGCUAGCAGUAUCCUGAGUAGGGCGGGACACGAGGAAUCCUGUCUGAAUCCGGGUCGACCACGAUCCAACCCUAAAUACUAAUACCAGAUCGAUAGUGCACAAGUACCGUGAGGGAAAGGUGAAAAGAACUGAGGUGAUCAGAGUGAAAUAGAACCUGAAACCAUUUGCUUACAAUCAUUCAGAGCCCUAUGUAGCAAUACAGGGUGAUGGACUGCCUUUUGCAUAAUGAGCCUGCGAGUUGUGGUGUCUGGCAAGGUUAAGCAAACGCGAAGCCGUAGCGAAAGCGAGUCUGAAUAGGGCGCUUAGUCAGAUGCUGCAGACCCGAAACGAAGUGAUCUAUCCAUGAGCAAGUUGAAGCUAGUGUAAGAACUAGUGGAGGACUGAACCCAUAGGCGUUGAAAAGCCCCGGGAUGACUUGUGGAUAGGGGUGAAAGGCCAAUCAAACUUCGUGAUAGCUGGUUCUCUCCGAAAUAUAUUUAGGUAUAGCGUUGUGUCGUAAUAUAAGGGGGUAGAGCACUGAAUGGGCUAGGGCAUACACCAAUGUACCAAACCCUAUCAAACUCCGAAUACCUUAUAUGUAAUCACAGCAGUCAGGCGGCGAGUGAUAAAAUCCGUCGUCAAGAGGGAAACAACCCAGACUACCAGCUAAGGUCCCUAAAUCUUACUUAAGUGGAAAACGAUGUGAAGUUACUUAAACAACCAGGAGGUUGGCUUAGAAGCAGCCAUCCUUUAAAGAAAGCGUAAUAGCUCACUGGUCUAGUGAUUUUGCGCGGAAAAUAUAACGGGGCUAAAGUAAGUACCGAAGCUGUAGACUUGCACACAACUUAGAUUAUUUAAGUUUAGAAUAUGAGAAACUAAGUUAUAUGUUUAGUUAUAUUUUUACUGAUUUUUAUAGAGUAAAGAUAGAAAUAAAACUUAGUAAAAUCAGUAAAAAUAUUCUUAGACUAAAGUUAAGUAGUUUAAGUUGUGUGCAAGUGGUAGGAGAGCGUUCUAUUUGCGUCGAAGGUAUACCGGUAAGGAGUGCUGGAGCGAAUAGAAGUGAGCAUGCAGGCAUGAGUAGCGAUAAUUAAUGUGAGAAUCAUUAACGCCGUAAACCCAAGGUUUCCUACGCGAUGCUCGUCAUCGUAGGGUUAGUCGGGUCCUAAGUCGAGUCCGAAAGGGGUAGACGAUGGCAAAUUGGUUAAUAUUCCAAUACCAACAUUAGUGUGCGAUGGAAGGACGCUUAGGGCUAAGGGGGCUAGCGGAUGGAAGUGCUAGUCUAAGGUCGUAGGAGGUUAUACAGGCAAAUCCGUAUAACAAUACUCCGAGAACUGAAAGGCUUUUUGAAGUCUUCGGAUGGAUAGAAGAACCCCUGAUGCCGUCGAGCCAAGAAAAGUUUCUAAGUUUAGCUAAUGUUGCCCGUACCGUAAACCGACACAGGUGGGUGGGAUGAGUAUUCUAAGGCGCGUGGAAGAACUCUCUUUAAGGAACUCUGCAAAAUAGCACCGUAUCUUCGGUAUAAGGUGUGGUUCGCUUCGUAUUAGGAUUUACUCCGAAAGCGAAGAAACUUACAACAAAGAGUCCCUCCCGACUGUUUACCAAAAACACAGCACUCUGCUAACUCGUAAGAGGAUGUAUAGGGUGUGACGCCUGCCCGGUGCUCGAAGGUUAAUUGAUGGGGUUAGCAUUAGCGAAGCUCUUGAUCGAAGCCCGAGUAAACGGCGGCCGUAACUAUAACGGUCCUAAGGUAGCGAAAUUCCUUGUCGGUUAAAUACCGACCUGCAUGAAUGGCGUAACGAGAUGGGAGCUGUCUCAAAGAGGGAUCCAGUGAAAUUGUAGUGGAGGUGAAAAUUCCUCCUACCCGCGGCAAGACGGAAAGACCCCGUGGACCUUUACUACAGCUUGACACUGCUACUUGGAUAAGAAUGUGCAGGAUAGGUGGGAGGCUUUGAGUAUAUGACGCCAGUUGUAUAUGAGCCAUUGUUGAGAUACCACUCUUUCUUAUUUGGGUAGCUAACCAGCUUGAGUUAUCCUCAAGUGGGACAAUGUCUGGUGGGUAGUUUGACUGGGGCGGUCGCCUCCCAAAUAAUAACGGAGGCUUACAAAGGUUGGCUCAGAACGGUUGGAAAUCGUUCGUAGAGUAUAAAGGUAUAAGCCAGCUUAACUGCAAGACAUACAAGUCAAGCAGAGACGAAAGUCGGUCUUAGUGAUCCGGUGGUUCUGUGUGGAAGGGCCAUCGCUCAAAGGAUAAAAGGUACCCCGGGGAUAACAGGCUGAUCUCCCCCAAGAGCUCACAUCGACGGGGAGGUUUGGCACCUCGAUGUCGGCUCAUCGCAUCCUGGGGCUGGAGCAGGUCCCAAGGGUAUGGCUGUUCGCCAUUUAAAGCGGUACGCGAGCUGGGUUCAGAACGUCGUGAGACAGUUCGGUCCCUAUCUGCCGUGGGCGUAAGAAGAUUGAAGAGAUUUGACCCUAGUACGAGAGGACCGGGUUGAACAAACCACUGGUGUAGCUGUUGUUCUGCCAAGAGCAUCGCAGCGUAGCUAAGUUUGGAAAGGAUAAACGCUGAAAGCAUCUAAGCGUGAAGCCAACUCUAAGAUGAAUCUUCUCUAAGCUCUCUAGAAGACUACUAGUUUGAUAGGCUGGGUGUGUAAUGGAUGAAAGUCCUUUAGCUGACCAGUACUAAUAGAGCGUUUGGCUUAUCUUUAAUAAAGCAU